UAUACAUCACGUGUCGACAAUCGUUUUAGUCAUUCUAACUUCAUUUGAUCAUUAUCAACAAGAUGUGGUUAUAUAAACAAGACUUAUAAGAAAAUUCCCGUCAUUAAAUGGAUUUUAUGAACUGUAUUGGUAUUAGAUAGAGCGGUAAUACACAUCUGUAGAAAAAUUGAACAUCUAUUGUUUGAAUUUGUUUGAUCCUUGUCCAGUCAAUUAGAUAAUCGUCCAGUCAAUGUGAACCUUAUGCCGUCUAGUUGCUAUUUAAGGUCUGUGGAAGUGUAACUGAUGUUCUUGUGUUUGAAGGAAAAAAUCACACCCUGUUUGUAGAAUAC
Molecule: long non-coding RNA, 329 nt
Organism: Mytilus trossulus (common blue mussel)
Lineage: Eukaryota; Metazoa; Mollusca; Bivalvia; Mytilida; Mytilidae
Exons: 4
Source: RefSeq, a predicted model, not a curated record